AACGUAGGACGCAAGCGUUAUCCGGAGUUACUGGGCGUAAAGCGCGGGCAGGCGGCCAACCAAGUCUGAUGUGAAAUCUCUUCGCUCAACGGAGAGAGGCCAUUGGAAACUGGUCGGCUGGAGGGCAGUAGAGGUAGGCGGAAUUCCGGGUGGAGUGGUGAAAUGCGUAGAGAUCCGGAGGAACACCAGAGGCGAAGGCGGCCUACUGGGCUGCACCUGACGCUGAGCCGCGAAAGCCAGGGGAGCGAACGGGAUUAGAAACCCCGGUAGUCCUGGCCGUAAACGAUGUGUGCUGGAUGGCGGUCCGAACGGGUCGUUGUCGAAGCUAACGCGAUAAGCACACCGCCUGGGGAGUACGGUCGCAAGGCUAAA
Molecule: ribosomal RNA, 372 nt
Filed under: uncultured bacterium
Lineage: Bacteria
Description: bacterial SSU rRNA
Rfam family: Bacterial small subunit ribosomal RNA
Source: RNAcentral